This 534-nucleotide unclassified non-coding RNA is filed under the name Hevea brasiliensis (rubber tree). The record is from RNAcentral. Lineage: Eukaryota; Viridiplantae; Streptophyta; Magnoliopsida; Malpighiales; Euphorbiaceae.
CAGCUCAAACUACACCAUUAUUGCCGACUUGGUGAGAAAUAAAUGCAAUAAAAAUGAACGGUCUCGCCUUGUUUUCGGGUUUAGCAGAAGGUGGUAAUUUCCUACUCGAAGGGGCGCUCUAGCAUCUGAGUUACUGAAUAACAAUGUAGUUUAAUGAUUUGGCUCAAUUCUUUCUUGAUUGCUUCAUGAAGGAAUUUGUCUUAAUAGCUGCUCUAGAGGUUCUUGAUAUAAAUCUGCAAACCAGCCAAAUAAAAGGGCAAGUGUGUAGCAGUCUCUAUUUCUUUUGAAGACAACUUUGUGUAUAUUCUUGUCUCUUUUCUCUCAGCAAUCUGCUUCCAAAUGGACUGGAUUUAUCUUGCAAGUGAAUGGGGCUGAAAAUUCUUUGUUGUUUUAGCAUACAUUUCUCCUAAACAUGAGGAAAUUUAGUAGAGGUUCUGGCGUAAUGCUGAACUUCACAGAUAAUUUUACUCUGUAAACCGUGUUUUAGUUUUAUGAGAAUCCUUGUCUGCUGCUUAGAAUUUGUUUGGUUGAAUU